CAGCAGCCUUGUGGUUGUGGUCAGUCAUGCCAAGCCACAGCAAAUGAAUGUCUACCACUUCAAGAAGGGAACAGAGAUCUGCAACUACAGCUAUUCCAGUAACAUUCUGUCCAUCCGGCUCAACCGUCAGAGGCUGGUUGUAUGCCUGGAGGAGUCAAUUUACAUCCACAACAUUAAGGACAUGAAGCUUUUGAAGACUAUUCUGGACACACCUCCAAAUACAACAGGCCUGUGUGCUCUCUCCAUCAACCACGCCAACUCCUACUUGGCUUACCCCGGCAGCGCGGCCAGCGGGGAGAUCGCGCUUUACGACGGAAACACUUUGAAAACAGCCUGCACGAUUCCUGCCCAUGAUGGGCCUCUGGCUGCCCUCACCUUCAACUCCACUGGCUCCAAGCUGGCAAGCGCUUCUGAAAAAGGCACAGUCAUUCGUGUAUUUUCCAUUCCUGGGGGGCAAAAGCUCUAUGAAUUCCGGCGAGGGAUGAAAAGGUAUGUGAACAUCAGCUCCCUGGUGUUCAGCAUGGAUUCCCAGUUCCUCUGUGCUUCCAGCAACACGGAGACUGUGCAUGUCUUCAAACUGGAGCAUCUCACUGACAGCCGGCCAGAGGAGCCUCCAACCUGGAGUGGUUACAUGGGGAAGAUGUUCCAGGCUGCUACCAACUACCUCCCAGCUCAGGUGUCAGGCAUGAUGAACCAGGAUCGAGCCUUUGCUACCGUCCGCCUCAACAUCUCCGGGCAAAGGAACAUCUGUGCCCUCUCCACGAUUCAGAAGCUGCCUCGACUGUUGGUGACUACGUCAGAUGGACAUCUCUACAUCUAUAACUUGGACCCACAAGAUGGAGGGGAGUGUGUCUUAAUUAAGAAACACAGUCUGCUUGGCUCAGGAAAGAUGGAGGAGAACAAAGAAAACAACCUUCAGUCCCCAUUACCUCAAUCUUAUGCAGCAACUGUAGCCAGACAAAGUACAGUGCCUUCAACUUCGACCAUGCCAGGUUAUUCAGAGGACGGUGGUGCCCUGCGAGGAGAGGUGAUCCCAGAGCAUGAGUUUGCAACCGGCCCAGUGUGUCUGGAUGACGAGAAUGAGUUCCCUCCUGUGAGCAUUCGGGACCCCUAAAGCUGAGAAGAAAGUGUUAACCUCUUGCAGAAGAGAUACUGCUGUCCCCACCUUGUCCCUGCUUACUGUGAAGCUUACAAUAACUAAUGAAGUUACAGGGACAGUGCCAGGAAAAGUACCCCAGAAACAGCAGCUAGGGACGGGGCAAAGGUGAUCAAACCUAAGCACCAGGGAUGGAUCUGAACAAACCAGCAGAAUGCAGGUGCAGAGUGAUGUUCAGAUCCUGAUCUGACCUUUGUGCCUUGCACAGGUUUCUAGUAGGAGCAGGAAUAGCUUUAAUUUGAACAAUGUCAUCUUGGAGAAAGAACAGCUUUGUGCUCCCUGUUGCAUUUACAGCUAGCUGCUUUAGUGCAUGGAAUGCAACUGGGAUUGGACUAGAUGACCUUUGAGGGUCCCUUCCAAACUGGACCGUUCUAUGAUUCUGUAUGCCUGAACCUUCCCAGUCUCUUCAUUUCCAAGCUAACUGGAAAGGAAACUCCUUUUCCCAGUAGAAAGAUGAAAGGCAAACCAGAGAUUGAAACCAUUUGGUGACUUUUAUGUGGCACUUUCUCAGUUACCACUGGAAGAAGGUAGUGGCUUUUAAAAAUCUAACUGAAGCCUGGCAGUGUCUCUCCUCCUCCUUUUCCUACACACACGUUUAUUGUGUCAAGUAUCUCAGCCCUAAAGGGACAGAUGUUGGUACCAUGCUAUGAUCUGGUUGCAAUCAGAUGUCCUCAUAAUAAUAAUGCAUUAACAGAGCAGAAUAUUGAUUUCCAGUUGUAGUCUUGGCAUCCCUUGAAUCCCUUACUCCAUUUUUACAUCUCCUGCUGUUGGGAGUUUUGCCUACAAAAGGAGAAGGUAAAACCUCUUCUCAGGAUCCCAGGAUUUGUUCCAGAUGCUGAGGCUGACCUCUGUGAGGCACUUUUCUCUAACUGAUACAAGGUUGCUACUUAGAUAAACGAUUAUUAGCUCAUCAGUGAUCAGUGCCCUUUGAAACAACACUGCCUAGGCCCGGCUCAAAGUGCAUAAAUCUCAGGCCAGUGCUCUUUUGUAACUUGUGGUAUAACUGAGAACAGGAGCUUUCCAGUUGGCCUGCUCCUGUUACUCAAGAAGGAUGUUUAAAAUGUCCCUGCUCUGGUCACAGCUGGUGGUCCAAGCUGCCUGGAAGGAGCAGCAGGGCCAGAGAGAAAUCCUUUGCUUCCUUCUGAUCAACCUGCUCUUGAACAUGUGGUUUUGGGACAGGCAAAUUCCAGUAAGCGGGAAUCCUGCUGCUCCUGAAUGAGCCUUCCUGCUGGGGCUGUGCUGUGUGAAAGCAGCCCCAGAUCCCCGUGGUCCACCAGCAGGAACUUUAUUAAACCAACUUUGAUCUGUCACAAUCCUGAGCCGUAAUUAACCUGAGAGAGCAACUUAACGUCUGUAACCUUAGGAAGGAGGUGGUGUGGGAGGGAAGGUGCUUGCCUAAAAUACUCCCUGCUAUGGUGGCUUAGCAAUUGGAGCUUCCAGAGAAAGUCUUCCCAGCUAGGACUUGGGUUUGCCCCUCUGUUGCUAACGUGUUCAGCAUCUGGUGUUGCGGCGGCGUGGGCUCCCGCUGGCUGAGUGCGCACGGAGGGUCGACUGCCUGUUUUGAUGCUCUCAAUUUCUCUGAACUUUGCUGUUUUCUCAGAGCUGAGAUCUUCUGCCUCAGUGACGUGUUCAGAGGGGGAUGGGGAGGGGGUUUCAGGCAUCAGUCGUUUUCUGUGUUGAGAAGGAAGGAGAGCAAACCUGACCUUAUCCAAGAAAAAUGUUUUGACAGCGUUCUGCUUUGCGGAAACAUGGGAAGGGUUUUGUUUGUUUUCCAGUGUGCAACAAAAAAGACGUUUUAAAAACCUCAAAACUUGUGACAAAAUGGAAUAUUCACCCACAGCCCAUGCCACGAGGAUGGCUUUGAACUUAAGACACACUUCUGGAGAAACAGCAGUGCUCAGACCCAGCAGUUUCUUCUCCAUUUUGAAACAUCUCGCUUUCCCCUGACCUCGAGCAAGACUUCAGAGGCUCAGCUGUUAAGAGUGAGGAAAAGCGGCUUCAGUCUAACACAGGAUCUGUUGAGAUUGUUGAAAACUGCCUCUUGGUUAAACAGAUCAGAGGAGAGAUGAGAAGCCCAAGGAGGGCUCAUAAAAAAUGGCCUCAACAAGAGCAAAUGUGGAUGUUGCUACCGAUUGCGCCAGGGCUGCUGAAGGAUCCUGCAGCAAGAGGUCAGCAAGUUCAGUUCCAUCCUUUGCUUGCAGGGAUGGGGUGGAUUAAGUCCUUUCAGGUCUGCUGUUGAUCUCACACAGGAAGGACUCAGGCAUUAUUGAGAUGGACAGGAGCCUAAAGCCUCAGCUGAGAAGGAGCCAUGCGUGAGAUGAGCUGGGAGAAGCUGCGUGGCCCUUGCGCUGUGUGGUCAAGUGUUGUGGGAUGGGAAGUGUCACCUCAGCACUGGCUGCUGAUGGUUGUGGUGAUCUUGGCUGUUUUCUGGUCACCUGCCACUUCUCUGUGGGUUUGUCAGGGUCAGUCAGGUUUCCAGUGGUCUCAGGAGCUGUUGGUGUGUGCUUUGGGACAGGCAGGGCACCACUUGGCCAGCUCCACGCUUGGAGCCACCAUGGUCAGAACAGUUUUUGGGGUAGCGCUGGGAGGUUUGAUGAAAUCCUGCAGGGUUCAGCAAGCAAGGUGGCCUGUGUGGACCUGAGGAGCACAACCAGAGGAUCUUAAAAGUGUUGGGAUUCAGCAGGUGAUUUCUUCCAGCAGGCUGCUCAGUGCUUUUCCAGGCAUACAUGAUCCGUUCUGCUUUUGGCUGCACCCCGAACCUGUCAGCUUCAAAGCAGGGUUGAUGUGAUGGCUUUAUGAGAACCAUUUCAUUAAGUCAGACUAGAUUGCAUACAGCACUCAGCUCCUCAAGGAUGACUUCCCCUCAUGGACACACAGACAGCCUUCAAAAACAUCUCUUCCACUUCCAAAACUGUCUGAGUACCCUGCCUGUGCUGCCAAAGGAUGCUGCUGCCCAGGGCUCCUAUCUGCAGCGUUGGUGACAGGGUGGAAGGAAAACCCCUCCAGAUGUCAACAGCAGCCAUCAGCAGCUCCCCUGCAGCUCCAGUCACUCCUGCCCUGCUCCCUGGAAGGACAGACAGGAGGACAGGCUCCAGCAGCCACUCUUCACAUCACAACAUCCCCAUCCUGCUAGCCCUGCUGUCUGCAGAGGACCCCAGCAUGGGGUCUGCUGCCUCCUCACUACCCCAAACCAUGAUCUUUAUGCAAGUAGCCAGGUUGCAGAUGGAUCUUUGGCUCCAUGGGACCAGGAUUUGCCCAGGUUCCUCCUUGCUGUUUGCUGGAAGGUGUUCCACUUGUUCUGUUGCACCAAAAUGUGGCACUUGGUGAUUUUAAGGGAAUUUUUUUUUUUUCUUCAACAGCUGGCUGUUGUCAGAGAUUUUGCAGUGAAGCUCUUCACUGAUCAUGUUUCACAGGGGAUGAGCAAGUUUGGCAGAACCCAACUGGCCUCUUCUUCCUCAUGGCAGCUCCUGCUCUGGUAGCACAGACAGGCAUUUUGGGCAACUGGGGCUCACAGGAUUAAGCUCAGCUAUCAGUGCACUAUCUGAGGUCCCUUGGGAAACAUGGAAUCUGGUGCCAAUACUUGUGCUGGACAAGGGAGGUCCUGAAGCCCAUGGAGAGAUGGAUCCUGGGAGAAGGAGCUGGCCCAGACCUUAUUGCUGCUGUGGCUGUGAGGAUCACAUCUGUACUGCUGGGAGACACCAGUCACAUCUGGCAAGACUGGAGCUGAUAAUCUUGUGCCGCGGAGGCCAGCCGGGCAAAGCG
Molecule: RNA transcript, 4918 nt
Organism: Indicator indicator
Lineage: Eukaryota; Metazoa; Chordata; Aves; Piciformes; Indicatoridae
Gene: WIPI1
Gene name: WD repeat domain, phosphoinositide interacting 1
Exons: 11
Source: RefSeq, a predicted model, not a curated record